UAAACUCAUCUGAGUUUGAAGAAGGCUUGCC
RNAcentral lists this non-coding RNA (31 nucleotides) under Mus musculus (house mouse). Lineage: Eukaryota; Metazoa; Chordata; Mammalia; Rodentia; Muridae. The record is from RNAcentral.